AUUGAACGCUGGCGGCAUGCCUAACACAUGCAAGUCGAACGAGUGGCGGACGGGUGAGUAAUGUAUGGGAACGUGCCCGAUGGAGGGGGAUAACUACUGGAAAGAGUAGCUAAUACCGCAUACCAUCGGAUGUGCCGAGAUGGGAUUAGCUAGUAGGUGGGGUAAAGGCUCACCUAGGCGACGAUCCCUAGCUGGUUUGAGAGGAUGACCAGCCACACUGGAACUGAGACACGGUCCAGACUCCUACGGGAGGCAUCAGUGGGGAAUAUUGGACAAUGGGCGCAAGCCUGAUGCAGCCAUGCCGCGUGUAUGAAGAAGGCCUUCGGGUUGUAAAGUACUUUCAGCGGGGAGGCGUUACCCGCAGAAGAAGCACCGGCUAACUCCGUGCCAGCAGCCGCGGUAAUUC
RNAcentral lists this ribosomal RNA (406 nucleotides) under uncultured bacterium. RNAcentral's name for it is "partial 16S ribosomal RNA". It matches the Rfam family "Bacterial small subunit ribosomal RNA", at positions 30 to 526 of the family's 1533-position model. The record is from RNAcentral.